This 72-nucleotide transfer RNA is filed under the name Camelus bactrianus (Bactrian camel). It matches the Rfam family "tRNA". From Rfam's summary of the family: Transfer RNA (tRNA) molecules are approximately 80 nucleotides in length. Their secondary structure includes four short double-helical elements and three loops (D, anti-codon, and T loops). The record is from Rfam by way of RNAcentral. RNAcentral also lists the same sequence under 1 other name. Lineage: Eukaryota; Metazoa; Chordata; Mammalia; Artiodactyla; Camelidae.
GAGGGUUUAGCUCAGUGGUAGAGCACAUGCUUAGCAUGCAUGAGGUCCUGGGUUCAAUCCCUAGUACCUCCA